Molecule: non-coding RNA, 93 nt
Organism: Ascosphaera aggregata
Lineage: Eukaryota; Fungi; Ascomycota; Eurotiomycetes; Onygenales; Ascosphaeraceae
Source: the annotation of a GenBank genome assembly
GGUCGGCUGGCCUAAUGGUAAGGUGUCCGUUUCCGGUCUCUCUCCCUUUAUCCAGACUGCGGAAGAUUGCAGGUUCGAGUCCUGCGUCGAUCG